Non-coding RNA from Lactuca sativa (garden lettuce), 723 nucleotides. The record is from RefSeq and is a predicted model, not a curated record. NCBI's taxonomy places the organism in Eukaryota, Viridiplantae, Streptophyta, Magnoliopsida, Asterales, Asteraceae.
UAAGACUUGAGUUGAUCUCAAUUGUCUUCUUUGUUGAAAUAGUUGUUCUAUUUCGGAAUAGCAGAGCUCUAUCCAAAUUAUCCAUAUAAUCAUCCAAUCAUUCAACACAAUCCAUCAUCAAUAUAAUCCAACGCAUCAUUCAGACAGUGAAAUCACUCCGGAAGCAAUGAAAGCAAUUGAAACCUUCGAACAACCUUUCGAAAAGUUUUCUCAUCAGUUAGCUGAAUUACCUGCUGAUAUCAAAAAACAACUUUGUAAACAUAUUAUGCAUGCACCAAGACACAAUUGCAGUUAUUGUUCAGAAAACACAGAAGAAACACAAUUCACGGAAGAUUAACGAUGAAAGAAAACAUUCUUCAAAAAUAUGUCUUUUUGGAGGUGGAAGGAAUGAGAAUGACGUAAGCAAUGACGAAAAAAGCCAUAAUUGAAGACAUCUGUCCUUUCAAUGUGGAAGGGAUUAUUAUAUUUUUAAUUAUGUAAAGUGUCGGUAGAAGGAUUGUUAUUUUUAUGUAAUUAAAUAGAAGUGUCGGUAGAAUAAUUACUAAGUGUCGGUUGUGAUGUAACAUAAAGUGUGUAACCCUCAAUAGUCUAGGAGGCUAUAAUGUAAAUAUGUAUGUCGUAUUGCAAUCAAACGAUUGCAACAAUAAUUGUAACCGGCUCUCUUGAGCCUAUAAAUAGGGCCUUCGCCCAAAUGAAAUAAACAAACGAAGUUUAAGUGUUUAA